UGGGGAAUAUUGGGCAAUGGAGGAAACUCUGACCCAGCAACGCCGCGUGGAGGAAGAAGGUUUUCGGAUCGUAAACUCCUGUCCUUGGAGACGAGUAGAAGACGGUAUCCAAGGAGGAAGCCCCGGCUAACUACGUGCCAGCAGCCGCGGUAAUACGUAGGGGGCAAGCGUUGUCCGGAAUAAUUGGGCGUAAAGGGCGUGUAGGCGGCUCGGUAAGUCUGGAGUGAAAGUCCUGCUUUUAAGGUGGGAAUUGCUUUGGAUACUGUCGGGCUUGAGUGCAGGAGAGGUUAGUGGAAUUCCCAGUGUAGCGGUGAAAUGCGUAGAGAUUGGGAGGAACACCAGUGGCGAAGGCGACUAACUGGACUGUAACUGACGCUGAGGCGCGAAAGUGUGGGGAGCAAACAGGAUUAGAUACCCUGGUAGUCCACACUGUAAACGAUGAAUGCUAGGUGUAGGGGGUAUCGACCCCUUCUGUGCCGCAGUCAACACAAUAAGCAUUCCGCCUGGGGAGUACGGCCGCAAGGUUGAAACUCAAAGGAAUUGACGGGGGCCCGCACAAGCAGCGGAGCAUGUGGUUUAAUUCGACGCAACGCGAAGAACCUUACCAGGUCUUGACAUCCACUUAAACUUACAGAGAUGUAAGGUGUGCUUGCACAAAGUGAGACAGGUGGUGCAUGGUUGUCGUCAGCUCGUGUCGUGAGAUGUUGGGUUAAGUCCCGCAACGAGCGCAACCCUUAUCUUCAGUUACUAACGCGUGAAGGCGAGGACUCUGAAGAGACUGCCGGGGACAACUCGGAGGAAGGUGGGGACGACGUCAAAUCAUCAUGCCCCUUAUGACCUGGGCUACACACGUGCUACAAUGGCCACGACAGAGAGAAGCGAAAUCGUAAGGUAGAGCGGAACUCAAAAAAGUGGUCCCAGUUCGGAUUGUGGGCUGCAACCCGCCCACAUGAAGUCGGAGUUGCUAGUAAUCGCAGAUCAGCAUGCCGCGGUGAAUACGUUCCC
RNAcentral lists this ribosomal RNA (1005 nucleotides) under uncultured bacterium. RNAcentral's name for it is "bacterial SSU rRNA". It matches the Rfam family "Bacterial small subunit ribosomal RNA", at positions 355 to 1375 of the family's 1533-position model. The record is from RNAcentral.